This 413-nucleotide unclassified non-coding RNA is filed under the name Hevea brasiliensis (rubber tree). The record is from RNAcentral. Lineage: Eukaryota; Viridiplantae; Streptophyta; Magnoliopsida; Malpighiales; Euphorbiaceae.
UAUAAAUCUAACGGUCUCUGCCAUUUUCCAACUAACCCGUCGGCCUUCGCUACGCCUGCACCCAACGCUCAAUAACCCCUCCUUCACCCUCCUCUCCUCUACCUCUAUUUAAAGCACCCAUUUCAGUUGAACCCACUCAGGAAUUUUGGGUCAUCUGAAAUUUCCUAACCUAUAAUUUCAACAAACGCCCUCAUUUUCUCGCACUUUCCUUCCAUUCUUCCACCUUUCCGAGAAAACAAUCAGCAAUGGAGUUUUGUCAGGACAAAGGUACUACUUCACCAGGGUUUUGCACUACUGAUCCAUUGAACUGGGGCUUGGCUGCUGAAUCGUUGAAGGGUAGCCACCUUGAUGAGGUCAAGCGCAUGGUGGAUGACUACAGGAAGCCUGUGGUCAAGCUAGGGGGUGAGACCCUG